RNAcentral lists this ribosomal RNA (468 nucleotides) under uncultured bacterium. RNAcentral describes it as "partial 16S ribosomal RNA". It matches the Rfam family "Bacterial small subunit ribosomal RNA", at positions 28 to 507 of the family's 1533-position model. The record is from RNAcentral.
GACGAACGCUGGCGGCGUGCUUAACACAUGCAAGUCGAACGGAAAGGCCCUGCUUUUGUGGGGUGCUCGAGUGGCGAACGGGUGAGUAACACGUGAGUAACCUGCCCUUGACUUUGGGAUAACUUCAGGAAACUGGGGCUAAUACCGGAUAGGAGCUCCUGCUGCAUGGUGGGCGUUGGAAAGUUUCGGCUGUUGGGGAUGGACUCGCGGCUUAUCAGCUUGUUGGUGGGGUAGUGGCUUACCAAGGCUUUGACGGGUAGCCGGCCUGAGAGGGUGACCGGCCACAUUGGGACUGCGAUACGGCCCAGACUGCUACGGGAGGCAGUAGGGGGGAAUAUUGCACAAUGGGCGGAAGCCUGAUGCAGCAACGCCGCGUGCGGGAUGACGGCCUUCGGGUUGUAAACCGCUUUCGCCGGUGACGAAGCGUUAGUGACGGUAAUGGGUAAAGAAGCACCGGCUAACUACGUG